AUUGAACGCUGGCGGCAGGCCUAACACAUGCAAGUCGAGCGUAUGAAGGGAGCUUGCUCCUGGAUUCAGCGGCGGACGGGUGAGUAAUGCCUAGGAAUCUGCCUGGUAGUGGGGGAUAACGUCCGGAAACGGGCGCUAAUACCGCAUACGUCCUGAGGGAGAAAGUGGGGGAUCUUCGGACCUCACGCUAUCAGAUGAGCCUAGGUCGGAUUAGCUAGUUGGUGGGGUAAGGGCCUACCAAGGCGACGAUCCGUAACUGGUCUGAGAGGAUGAUCAGUCACACUGGAACUGAGACACGGUCCAGACUCCUACGGGAGGCAGCAGUGGGGAAUAUUGGACAAUGGGUGAAAGCCUGAUCCAGCCAUGCCGCGUGUGUGAAGAAGGUCUUCGGAUUGUAAAGCACUUUAAGUUGGGAGGAAGGGCAGUAAGUUAAUACCUUGCUGUUUUGACGUUACCAACAGAAUAAGCACCGGCUAACUUCGUG
This 484-nucleotide ribosomal RNA is filed under the name uncultured bacterium. Its description in RNAcentral is "partial 16S ribosomal RNA". It matches the Rfam family "Bacterial small subunit ribosomal RNA", at positions 30 to 507 of the family's 1533-position model. The record is from RNAcentral.